UGGGGAAUAUUGCACAAUGGGGGAAACCCUGAUGGCAGCGACGCCGCGUGAAGGAAGAAGUAUCUCGGUAUGUAAACUUCUAUCAGCAGGGAAGAUAGUGACGGUACCUGACUAAGAAGCCCCGGCUAACUACGUGCC
RNAcentral lists this ribosomal RNA (138 nucleotides) under uncultured bacterium. RNAcentral's name for it is "partial 16S ribosomal RNA". It matches the Rfam family "Bacterial small subunit ribosomal RNA", at positions 355 to 509 of the family's 1533-position model. The record is from RNAcentral.